UCCGUUUGCAAGGUGAGUUACCAGGUU
RNAcentral lists this non-coding RNA (27 nucleotides) under Homo sapiens (human). The record is from RNAcentral. Lineage: Eukaryota; Metazoa; Chordata; Mammalia; Primates; Hominidae.